GCAAAAGAUAGCUCAGUGGUUAGAGCAUGAAACCUUUAAUUUCAGGGUCAUAGGUUAGAGCCCCACGUUGGGCA
Podarcis lilfordi (Lilford's wall lizard) is the source of this 74-nucleotide non-coding RNA. The record is from the annotation of a GenBank genome assembly. Lineage: Eukaryota; Metazoa; Chordata; Lepidosauria; Squamata; Lacertidae.